AAGACAUGUUCCCAGUAGGUAGCCAGCAAGCGCCCUUGUGCAUUUAGGCUCACAGGAUGAGCAACUAAAAAUUUUAAUCAAGACGGAAAAAAACUAUUCCAUUUUUUGCCACCAUCACUAGAAAGCAGUGAAAGCAUUCCUGAAUAUCUGAGGGCACUGCUCUAUUUGUUUAGGUAUAAUUCAAAUGUAGUUUCACUAUGACACUUAUUUUUGAAAAGAGUUGGUUAUGUAUUCAUUAUUUGUAAAUAAAUACAUAAAUAUUGCCAGAGAAUAUUCAUUAUUUGUGAGACUGACACUUAAAUCCAUAUUGAAGAAUAGCAGAGGUACAAAAGUAACUUGAUUGAUUUCACUAAAGGGAUUCAAUGGUUCCCUACUGCCGUUAAAAUAAAACAAGUUUAAACUUCUCAACAUCAUACAACACCCUUUAAGAUAUAACCCCUGGCUACCCGCACACCUACUAACUAACGUUGCAGCAUCGUGAUGGAAUGGGAUAAUCCUGGAAAUCUAAAGGUCAAAUUCAUGUUUUUCUCUGAGUCCUUACAGCUGCUGCCCAAGCAAAACCUCCAAAGAGAAUUAGAAAGAGUAAGAGAGAGAGCAAGAGAGAGAGCGAGGGAAAGACAAGAUAGGAAUACAGAACUCCUCAGCGUAGAGAAGUCAAAUGAUACCUGGAGAGUUCAAAAAAAGGCACUGUUAAGCUCUGUGGAGCAGGGAGUAUGACGGCGGGUGGGGAACCAACAUUAAACAACUGAGUUUCAUAGUUCACACUUCCAAAGCAAAUAGUUCUAAAAAGUUCUAAAUAGCUCUAAAAAGGAUUCUAUCUUACUUUGAUUUUUUAACAAUAUUGUUCUUUAAUCUAUGCAGAUACAUUUUCCAAGUGACCAGAGAGUCAGUGUUGACAGAGUGAUAAGAAGUUUUUUGAUUUGAGGAUUUUUGCUACUGGUAUCAGAAGAAUUAUGGCCAAAGAAUGUAGGGGAAAACCAGCUUGCAGCCAUAGGGCUAUGCCUGGCAGUGUUCAGUACAAUUUGCUCUUCCUGCCAGUCUAAAAGUUUGAGCCUCUUCCUCACUAAAGAAGUGUCAGUUUGCUGUAACUUAUGAUUAAACUAAUACCUGCCCAACUCAGUUUAAGCUGAUUGCUAUUGGCAUGAGAAAAUCAUGUUAUUUUAGCUACAAUUAAUUUGAUUCCAGAGGAUUUUUUCUGAAAUGAUGCAGAAAGUUCAAACUAAGCAGGAGUUGAAUUAACAGGAAGAAGCUAUGUAGUAAGUUCAUUAAAAUUCAUGGUGAAUAUUAAAUAAUUACUUUGAAUGAAAAGCAUCUUAAGAAAUAUAUAUCCCCUAUGGAUGUUUCUUCUCAGAAUACUUGUUCCCAAAGAAUAAUGCAGAUAAAAUAUUAGCAAGAUUCACUUCUGUAAUAUAUAAGAAUAUAUAAAGAGACUCCAACAAUAGCUUCAUCCAGUCAGCUCCUGUGAGGCCACACAAUGGAUUUUAGGUGAGUCUACAACAAAUGCGCAUAUCUUUUAGCAAUAAUGGUAUCCCAAAGGGUAAGGCAAACUGUACAGCACGAUCAAAACAAAACUAUUUCAGCGACCACAGUCAAGUCUGCCCCAUCCUUGGGGCUCUCUCAUGGAAUUCACAAAGCCCCUGAAAUUAGUCAUUCACGUCUCUCAACACACAGCAACAUAGAUACGGAGCCAUAAAGUAAGAAGAAAAACACAGUCAGAAUCUGAAUUGAUAACUCUCCUCCUUAUAUUUUCAGUGACUUGAAUUUUUUCCAUAUAAAUCAACUGGAAAACUUUCACGGCUUCACAAGAUGCUUUCUCUCUGGUUGCUCAUAUUAGGUCUAUUAACCUCCUUGAGAAGCACAUUAUUCUCUGAAAAGCUAUAGCAAGAGCCUUGAAAUCAUCAGCCCUACUUAGCUGUGACAGUGUUGAAACCCUUUAAUAGCAACAGGUUCCACUUCCCUACUUCCCUUUCUAUAGGUAUAUGGAGAAAACUUCCAGAGAAAAGAAGGAAAAGUUUUACCUAACUCUACCCAUUGUUAAGCAUGCUCCCUUUGGACCAGCAUCCAAACAAGCCACGCUUGAUGGAGUGGACGUGCAACAGCUCACUGUCUUAAAUAUCUACUACACAGGCUAUCUUACCAACAGGCCCUUGCCUAUAUUAAAUUACUCAUGCAAAAGGCAGGGUCCAUAUCUUCUGCACCAUUCACAUUGCACUUAGGCUUCAUGGGUUAUUUCUCCCCUUGCAUAUUGUAAGAUUAAGGAGCCUGAAAAGAACCUUAUCUGAAAACUCUGUCAACCCUCAUUAGCACCAGACAUGGUUUUAUAUCUAGGGGUUGCUUCAUAAAGACCUAAAUAGAUGAAUAAAUUAAAACCUGAAGUUUAAUAUAACUUAACAGCAUCAUCAUUUUUUCCUGUGUACUCACUUUUAUAACUAUACCUACUGAUGAGAACUACCUUCAACCAACAAGCUGAAUGUUUACUAUCUUCCCAUUGCCAACACACAGUGUCAGAGCUGCUUAGAGAGAUGUAUUCAACAAUGAUACAUCAUGCUACACUGUAAUUAGUCUAGUGAACGUACAGGGAAUACUCAUGCACUCUAUUCUACUCCCUCUGUCCCAGUAACUAUAAUUAUGCAGUCUGAAAGGAAAAAAUAUGUUGGAAAUAUUUCCAAAGACCCCAAGGGUACGAUAAUUAGAGGACUAAGAAAGGAAAGUGAGCCUGAUCGUGCUUCAGUCCACUGGGACCUAGCAUAGCUGAUGUGAACUGGAGAAAUAAGAUUUUGGAAAUGAAAGCUUCUUACUCCUUAUGAUCUGACACAAUCUGACAAUGACAUUAAUUAAAAGCUGAAAAUAUCAUUCAUUUUUCUAUAGCUGAAUUUAGUAGGCAAGGCAGGAGAAAAAGGAGAGGCCUGAGGGUAAGGAGCUAGAAAUGGCAUUCCAAUUCUUCUAACAGAUUUGGGACACUCUCCCACUACUGAGGAGGUUAAAUUGCUCUAGAGCAGACCUCCUGUGUGUCCUUCACCACUUUCUCCUGUCCCUGCAAGGAAGGAGAAGGCCAGCAGGAGAGGAGUGUUUGCGCAGUGAGGAGCUGGGAGAGCCAGAAUAGCAGAUAGGGCAAGAGCUGGGGGUAGCCAGAUCCAGGACGAGGCAGGAGAUAGCUGGCCAAGACAGGGAAGGCUCUGGAAGGAAGUGAUGGAUCAUCGAAGGUCACAGCAAGGUCAAGAAUAGAACACUUAACCUUGCUCUGACCUGAAAGGAUGAGUUAUAGCUCACAGGCCAUGAGAGCCAGCCAGCUCAAUAAGAGAAUGGAAUAAAUGCUCAAACAGAAUGCUGGGAGCCUAGAGCUCUGUAGGAAGGAGGGAGAGGGGCAAAGUAAACAAAAUAACAGAUUGGCACAAUGGUAGCAUGGAAGGAACUUGAUAACUAAGACACUCUGGCCUAGACCCAGAAUAUCUAUGAUUCUAGACCCAGAAUAAUAUCUGUAGUAAUAUAUAUAAUUCUAGCAGAGUAUCUAUGAUUCCUUUUGAGGUAAGAACUAAACUGGCAAAGUGUAUGUAAGGGCUUUGCAGAUGUAACAUGAUUUUGGAAGUACUUGUCUGUAAUGAAGUGCAUGUGGGUGGGCAGAAACAACACCUUUUGGAAAGCAAAUCCUAAUACUUGCUUUUCUCUCUUUUCUUCUUCAGCCCUCCCUCAAGUAAACAUGGAGAGAGUGGAAGAGAAGAGGGCAGAAAUAGAGAGCAAAACAACAGGGAGACUUAUUUCAGUUCCAUUUCUCUCCCCAUGCUAAGCGCUAUUUUGUAUAAGCAUUUCCCAGUGACUUUAAGCAACGGAGACUUUCUGUGCCUGAAUCUUCAUUAGUCACGUUGCUGAAAACUGGACAAAAGGUUUCUUUGCUUUGUAACAUUUUCUAAGCAUCCAAGAUUCAUGAUGGUGAUGGCCACAGUGACACAGAUACGCAGAGAAUUCGCCUAACAUUUUAGCAUUUCAUGAAUAAUCAGUUUCCAAUUCCUGCAUUUUUACUCUAAUAUUAGUUGAUUUGAAUAACAUUGAGUUAUUUACCAUGUAAUUUUCCUGCUGGUUCAAAAUAAUGCAAUUUUGAAAAUGCUAUUAGCCUGUUUAAUGCAGUAAGAUCAAUGAGGAGAUGUGACCUCUUAUUUUCUCAUUAUAAAACAAAAUGCAAGGGAAAGAAUUUUCUAUCCUGGGAAAGAUCGAUUUUCUACUUUCUCAGUUUGUAAAAUAUUGGCUUUCACAGUGCAAUCAAUGUCACUGACUCAAUGUGGAUGAAGCAAAUAAUAUAAAAUAUAAAUCUGUUCAUUUUCAUUAAGCCACAGUUUCCAUUAGUCUUGCCCUUGGUGUUAUUCUUAUAAAGGCUUAAGUAUGCAAAUACCACAACAAAAGACUGAUCACUGGAUGAUAAAUAUUAGCCAAUAAAUUUUAAUAUUACCCUAAGUAAGGAAACAAAAGUGAGCAUAUAUGCAAAGAUCAGUGACAUGCUGCAACUCUUUAAAUUAUUUUUCCAGUAAAGAACUCUGAAAUUUUGUAAUAGGGGUAAGAAGGUAAUCUACAACACCAAAUAGAUUUUAUAUACUCAUAUGGAUGGAAGGAACCUGGAAAAGUUAUCUACACCUUCCUUGUUUCCAGAUAAGAUUAUGUAAGUCUUAUGUAACAGAAAGAAAAGCUAUUUUUGCUAACUGUUAAGAGUUCUGGCAAAAGCAAAUAUUGUAAGCCCCUCUUCAUCAGCCUCUAAGAUGGUCAAUGAUCUUCACAUCCCUGUGUGGGCCUCUCCCAUAGUCAAUGAAGUCGAUAUGUGUAAACAAUAGGACAUGACAGAAAUGUCUGUGAGAUUUCCAAGGCUAGGUCACAAAAGGCAUUGCUACUUCUGUCCUCAUCUCUUUUGAAUCACUUGCUCUGGGGAAAGCCAAAUGACACGUCUUGAGGAAACCCAAGCAGUCCUAUGAAGAGGCUCAUGUGGUCUUCUUCCAAGAAACCCUCCCUCACCACCAGAACCACCAAUGCACAUCAGGCCUGCCUGGCUUCAGUUCUCAUCAUACUGAUUAUUUCUUGUUUGUAGCAAUUAUUAUAUUGAGGAUUAGUCAACUAUCUCUGCCAAUCUCCACUAAACUCACACAUCAGCUCCUAUGAUUAAAAUCCAACCUGCUCAUUGAAGCUGCUUCUUCAGCUCUUGCCUGGAGUAAACAGAAGCCAGAGGGGGCCUGAAAACAGUCCCAAAGAUGCCAUCAGAGUCAGCCUCCAAGGAAGAACCCUGACCACUGACACAGUGUAUCCUAAUGAAAUGGGGAAAAAUGCAAAAAACUUUCCACCACUGCUUGGCAGAAUAACAAUAAUAAUAAUAUGAUCAAGUAUUAAAAGGUAUGAAGAUAUAAGCAUCCUUAUAUGUUUUGGGUGGUGUCCACUGAAGAAUGACGAGGUUCAUACAUUUGCAAAGGGGAGCUUUAUUUCUCACAAAGGGUUGAAGCCUUCAGGGUGCCAUUUUGACAGGCUGGAGGCUAUGCUAAAAACAGAUACUUCAAGGGAGGGGAAAAAAGGAACAGGAAUUUAUGCUAAACAAUGUGCUCAAAUAUACAUAUUCAACAAGCUAUAGGAGGAGCAUGAAUAUAUAUGAAAGGAGAAAUGUACGCACAUGCAGUUGAGCUUCAUGCCCUUUCAUGGGUCUCAUGUGACAAAAAUAGCAGCAUUAGCAUGAUCUAAGGGUGGAGUUUUCAGCCCUCUGCUGUCAAAAGGUGAAGCAGAGUACAUGUAGGGCUUUACUGUGCCCUCUCCAGACUGGCCAGAGCCACUCCAUGGUCAGUGGUCUCUUAUCAGGCAAAAAAGGAGGGGCGGCAUGAGGUUGUUAGUUGAUAUCAGUGUGGAGUCUUUUGAAAGAGUUAGUUUCUGUUGAACCCUUAGAGAAGAAAGUCUAAUAGAAGUUAAUGAAGGAGAGGGCAUAAGGAAGCAUGCCCCAUCUUCUUCUAUCCCACUGUGGCCAAGAACUCAGUUUUCAAGGUUACUCUGGGGUCCCCUUGGCCAAAGAAGGUCCAUUCAGUCAGUUGGGGAGCUUAGAAUUUUAUUUUUAUUUUACAGUGGACAGGUAGAUUGCUACAGAUAUCUGAAAGGUAGGUUGGCAGUAUCUAUUAGAUUGGUGCAAUUGUGGUUUUUGUCAUUACUUUUAAUGGAAAAAAACACAAUCACUUUUGCACCAAUCUAAUAUUAAAUGCAUGUACCUUGCACAAUCCUACUUUUGUAAAACUAUCCUACAAAUAAAAGAAUCAAUGUAUAAAGUUGUGUGUUCAAAUGUGUUUGUUGAAGGGUUGUUGACAGUGACUCUCAAAUGAAAACAAUCUGAAUGUCCAUCAUUAGGAUAAAUUGUGGCAUGUCCCUAUGGGUACACAGAGAAAUAUGUGGAAGGCUACAUCCUAGGCUGUCAACAUGGAUUAUCUCAACUGAAGUGGUAUUGGGAGAUGGUAUAAUAAAUGUGUGACUUAAUUUGUUUAUGAAAUAGACAACUUUCCACCCCUAGCUAGCCUGGUGGUGAAAAUGUCAUCUUUAGGGAUUAAUUUUUCUAUUUCUAAAAGUCUGUUGUUAAAAUACAAAUAUUCCUGAAGUUGUUUUUCAGCCCUUAAUACCCAGAGGUGGGAGAGAAAAUGCUGUGGUUGCUUUCCAGCCCCGACAGCAAGCUGACAGAACCAUCUUAACUAGGACAGGUAGGUGUCUGUGUGGGAAAGGCAGGAGGAAAGGCCUCCGGCUCAUGGCCUGACUGACAUGCAUCUCGUUGACACUAACAUGUUGUCUAGGAAGGAGAACCAAAAGAGAGGAAAAGACACUGCGUGGAGGGGCUGAUGGGGCACAUACAUUGACUGCUGCCUGAGGCCAGUGCUACUUAGGAUGCUGCUCAGGUUUCCUUCCUGGUUCUUUGGGGAUUAGCACAAGCACUGAGUUGGCCCUCUGCCAGCUGGAGGGGCCGCCAACAGGGAUUGCCAAGGGGUCAAAGAAUCAGCAUCACUGGCUGAGAGAGCAGCUUUACCAGCAGAGAUCAAAGGUGCCAGACGUGGUUUCUUUUGAUUCACUCAGGGAGCAGGACAAGUAAUCAGAAAAGUGUGAUUUUCCUCUGCUCCAAUAAAAUAAAAAAACCUGCCGUUGUUAUAAAGCACCAAGAGAAUCAAUAAGAGUUUCAGGAGACAUUGGCACACCUCACAGGCAAAGCCCUGGAAACAAACUACUGCUUUCACCACAGUGUGAACUUCAGGGCAGAGGCUCUUUGGCUUGGAUGAGUUUACAGUACAGCAAAACUGUCCUCCCCGUCACAGUGUAUGUGGAACGGUAUGUCCAUGCUGGAGUAGCUGGAAUGUAAGUAGAUUUAGUGUGCUAACAUUAGAAAGAAUGAUACUACUAGCCAGAAUUUAGUGAAUACUUAUUGUCUAAGUAUGCGUAUCAUGUGAUAUUUGCAAGAACUCAAUGAGUUAGGUACUAUUCUAUCCCAUUUUAAAAAUAAGGAAAUUGAGGCACUGAA
This 7504-nucleotide long non-coding RNA is filed under the name Homo sapiens (human). RNAcentral's name for it is "HSALNT0380836". The record is from RNAcentral. Lineage: Eukaryota; Metazoa; Chordata; Mammalia; Primates; Hominidae.